UAGGCAUGGUUCACUCCCAAGGGAAAGGCCUUGGCGAGUUCUUCCUAUCCGUCGGUUGCCUCGACCAUUCGCCUAGAAACUAUUGCAAACGAUCGGCCCUUUAGCCAUGACCAAGCAUACCACCAUACUUAGGGUCUUAUAGGCAUAUAGCCGUUUUUAGUAAUCUACAUACAUGCGGACUCAACGCCACAAGUAUCGAUCACGAAACACUCAACCAAUCCAACCACACAAUCCUAAUCGGACCCAAAGGACCUGACCAUGAACCGGCCAGUCAUAGAACUUUGGUCCUAAUCCUACGUUAACGCACUUACCUUAGCCAAUCAAAGAGAAAAGAAGAAGAAGAGAAAGUACAAACACUAAAGGAACCCUUUCAGUUAUUUUCUAAUUCCGACCAAUCGUCUCACCGAACAGCCUCGUUGGACCAUCCGAGUACUCGCCUAACCUGAUCAA
Molecule: long non-coding RNA, 450 nt
Filed under: Brassica napus (rape)
Lineage: Eukaryota; Viridiplantae; Streptophyta; Magnoliopsida; Brassicales; Brassicaceae
Description: long non-coding RNA (BNAP_LNC011233)
Source: RNAcentral